This 395-nucleotide RNase P RNA is filed under the name Gemmatimonadota bacterium. RNAcentral describes it as "Gemmatimonadetes bacterium (activated sludge metagenome) RNase P RNA component class A". It matches the Rfam family "Bacterial RNase P class A". Rfam says of the family: Ribonuclease P (RNase P) is a ubiquitous endoribonuclease, found in archaea, bacteria and eukarya as well as chloroplasts and mitochondria. Its best characterised activity is the generation of mature 5'-ends of tRNAs by cleaving the 5'-leader elements of precursor-tRNAs. Lineage: Bacteria; Pseudomonadati; Gemmatimonadota. The record is from RNAcentral.
CAGGCCGGACGGGUUGGUCGCGGGCCGGGCAACCGGCUCGAGGAAAGUCCGAGCUCCAUCGGGUGCGCUGCCAGGUAACGCCUGGGCGCCGCAAGGCGACGGACAGGGCCACAGAAAACAGACCGCCCCGCCUCACGGCGGGGUAAGGGUGAAAAGGUGGGGUAAGAGCCCACCGCGUCCCUGGCAACAGGGGUGGCACGGUAACCCCCAGCGGGAGCAAGGCCAAAUAGGCGGUGAGGGGUGACCCACCCCGAGGGGGGCGUUUCGGCGCUCUCGACAACCGCGGGUAGGCUGCUCGAGGCGGCCGGCGACGGCCGUCCCAGACAGAUGACCAGCUGUUCCCGGGGUUCGCCCCGGUGGGCAAACAGAACUCGGCUUACGGUUCGACCUGCAAC